RNAcentral lists this ribosomal RNA (301 nucleotides) under uncultured bacterium. RNAcentral's name for it is "partial 16S ribosomal RNA". It matches the Rfam family "Bacterial small subunit ribosomal RNA", at positions 509 to 807 of the family's 1533-position model. The record is from RNAcentral.
CAGCCGCCGCGGGAAUACGUAGGGUGCGAGCGUUAAUCGGAAUUACUGGGCGUAAAGCGUGCGCAGGCGGUUCGUUAAGACAGAUGUGAAGUCCCCGGGCUUAACCUGGGAACUGCAUUUGUGACUGGCGAGCUAGAGUAUGGCAGAGGGGGGUAGAAUUCCACGUGUAGCAGUGAAAUGCGUAGAGAUGUGGAGGAAUACCGAUGGCGAAGGCAGCCCCCUGGGCCAAUACUGACGCUCAUGCACGAAAGCGUGGGGAGCAAACAGGAUUAGAUACCCCAGUAGUCCCUGUCUCUUAUAC